UUUCCGUAGGUGAACUGCGAAGGAUCAUUAAUAAUUUUUUUUGAAAUAAAAAAAAAUAAUAAUCAUCCUACCCUUGUGAAUUUGUUUGUUGAAUAAUUUUUAAAAUUAUUUAUGUCUAUCCAAGUUGGAAGUUGUAAAAGACUAGAAGACUUGGAGCGGCAUAAAUAAAUUUAAAGACUUUUUCUAAAUAACUUUGUAUUCAUUUGUCUAAAUAAUUUUAUAAUAUAUAAAAAAACUUUGACAAUGGAUCUCUUGGUUCUCGCAACGAUGAAGACGCAGCAAAAUGCGAUAAGUAAUGUGAUUGCAGAAUACGUGAAUCAUCGAAUCUUCGAACGCAUAUUGCACUUUUUAGUUAUAAAAAGUAUGUCUGUUGAGUAUCAGUAAAUAUUCUCAUAAAUUUUAAUUUUAUGGUUAUGAUGUUUUACAACGAUAAACAGUUGUUUCACUUUAAAUUGAAUUUUUGAAGAAAUUCUAAUUCAAAUUAAUUGGAUAAAAUUUCCCGUAAAAGGAAUAACUAUACAAGUUUAAUAAGAAUUUAGUGAUUUCUUUUAUGAAAGGAAAUUUAUUAAUAACUUGAUCUCAAAUCAGAUAAGAUACCGCUGAACUAAGCAUAUCAAUAAGCGGAGGAAAAGAACUAACAAGGAUUCCCUAGUAACGGCGAGUGAAGCGGAAGAGCUCAAAUUUGAAAUCUUAAAGGUUUCCUUUACGAAUGUAGUUUAAAGAAGUGUUUCUGUUGAGUUUUGGUAAAAGUUCUUGGAAUAGGACAUCAUAGAGGGUGAGAAUCCCGUAUUGACCUUUACUUUCAACUUUGUGAUACACUUUCAAGAGUCGGAUUGUUUGGGAAUGCAGUCCAAAUGGUGGUAAUUUCAUCUAAAGCUAAUAUUGGCGAGAGACCGAUAGCGAACAAGUACGUGAGGGAAAGAUGAAAAGAAUUGAAAAGAGAGUUAACAGUACGUGAAAUUGUCAAAGGGAAGCGUUGACACCUGUGUUGCUUUCUGAAAUCAAUUAAAGAACUGUUUAUGCUAAGUGUUUAGACUUUAUCAGCUAACUGUUUAGUUUUGAGCUUUCUUAAUGCACUUUUCAGUUAACAGUCAACAUCAAUUUCUUUGCUGUAAAAAGCUUGAGGAAGGUGGCUUGAGAUCGUCUUAAGUGUUAUAGCUCUUGCUAUCAGUCGGAGAGAUGAGGUCUGCAGCGUAGAUCCUUCGGGCUAAAUGCAUUUGUGCUAAUUAUAGCAUUUUAGACAACUUGUGACUAUGAUUUGUCUUGUAGCUUACUCGCUUAUGUUAUUUUACCUACGCUUAGGAUGUG
RNAcentral lists this unclassified non-coding RNA (1308 nucleotides) under uncultured Neocallimastigales. Its description in RNAcentral is "partial contains small subunit ribosomal RNA, internal transcribed spacer 1, 5.8S ribosomal RNA, internal transcribed spacer 2, and large subunit ribosomal RNA". The stretch from base 575 to 1308 matches the Rfam family "Eukaryotic large subunit ribosomal RNA", at positions 1 to 634 of the family's 3401-position model. The record is from RNAcentral. Lineage: Eukaryota; Fungi; Neocallimastigomycota; Neocallimastigomycetes; Neocallimastigales.